AUUGCCAUCCAUUGGAUUUGAAAGACAGUUCUCCAACACAGAGUCAUAAGCACCUUCUUAGGGUGAUAUGACCUAGCAACUCUGAUAAUAGGACUGCAGUCCUAUUCUUUUGUCACCUUUUUGCUGAUUGAUUCCAAGAUAAAAUUGUAAAAUUACUAGGUAUGCUUUGUUGCCAGCACAAAGUUUAAAUGUUCCUCCUUUGUGUUGUUCAUUUAUGUUACUUUUAAAAACCUGGAUUUCCUCUUUUUUCAGCUAUUACUAAGAUUAAGGAAGUGGCCAUGCUUAUGUUUAACGAGCUAUUCAGUAAACCAGACCACACUUUCAGAUGCCAGUUUCUAGGAACUACAAAGGUCACAAAUUCACCGCCGCAAGUGGAGGCUUUCUUGAAAGAUAUGGCAAGGACGGCAGGUCUUAAGGCAGGAGGGCAGAUGCCAGAUUAUGAACUAUGUAUUUCCAGGACU
Molecule: long non-coding RNA, 461 nt
Organism: Pocillopora damicornis (cauliflower coral)
Lineage: Eukaryota; Metazoa; Cnidaria; Anthozoa; Scleractinia; Pocilloporidae
Source: RefSeq, a predicted model, not a curated record